UAGGGAAUCUUCCGCAAUGGACGCAAGUCUGACGGAGCAACGCCGCGUGAGUGAAGAAGGAUUUCGGUUCGUAAAACUCUGUUGUUAGAGAAGAACAGCGCAUAGAGUAACUGUUAUGCGUGUGACGGUAUCUAACCAGAAAGCCACGGCUAACUACGUGCCAGCAGCCGCGGUAAUACGUAGGUGGCAAGCGUUGUCCGGAUUUAUUGGGCGUAAAGCGAGCGCAGGCGGUCAAUUAAGUCUGAUGUGAAAGCCCCCGGCUUAACCGGGGAGGGUCAUUGGAAACUGGUUGACUUGAGUGCAGAAGAGGAGAGUGGAAUUCCAUGUGUAGCGGUGAAAUGCGUAGAUAUAUGGAGGAACACCAGUGGCGAAGGCGACUCUCUGGUCUGUAACUGACGCUGAGGCUCGAAAGCGUGGGUAGCAAACAGG
RNAcentral lists this ribosomal RNA (429 nucleotides) under Bacteroidota bacterium. Its description in RNAcentral is "Bacteroidetes bacterium partial 16S ribosomal RNA". It matches the Rfam family "Bacterial small subunit ribosomal RNA", at positions 355 to 776 of the family's 1533-position model. The record is from RNAcentral. Lineage: Bacteria; Pseudomonadati; Bacteroidota.